UACGUAGGGGGCAAGCGUUGUCCGGAUUUACUGGGCGUAAAGAGCGUGUAGGCGGCCAGGUAGGUCUGCUGUGAAAACUCGAGGCUCAACCUCGAGACGUCGGCGGAAACCAUCUGGCUAGAGUCCGGAAGAGGAGAGUGGAAUUCCUGGUGUAGCGGUGAAAUGCGCAGAUAUCAGGAAGAACACCCGUGGCGAAGGCGGCUCUCUGGGACGGUACUGACGCUGAGACGCGAAAGCGUGGGGAGCGAACAGG
RNAcentral lists this ribosomal RNA (253 nucleotides) under uncultured bacterium. Its description in RNAcentral is "partial 16S ribosomal RNA". It matches the Rfam family "Bacterial small subunit ribosomal RNA", at positions 524 to 776 of the family's 1533-position model. The record is from RNAcentral.